UGGGGAAUAUUGGACAAUGGGCGAAAGCCUGAUCCAGCCAUGCCGCGUGUGUGAAGAAGGUCUUCGGAUUGUAAAGCACUUUAAGUUGGGAGGAAGGGUUGUAGAUUAAUACUCUGCAAUUUUGACGUUACCGACAGAAUAAGCACCGGCUAACUCUGUGCCAGCAGCCGCGGUAAUACAGAGGGUGCAAGCGUUAAUCGGAAUUACUGGGCGUAAAGCGCGCGUAGGUGGUUAGUUAAGUUGGAUGUGAAAUCCCCGGGCUCAACCUGGGAACUGCAUUCAAAACUGACUGACUAGAGUAUGGUAGAGGGUGGUGGAAUUUCCUGUGUAGCGGUGAAAUGCGUAGAUAUAGGAAGGAACACCAGUGGCGAAGGCGACCACCUGGACUGAUACUGACACUGAGGUGCGAAAGCGUGGGGAGCAAACAGGAUUAGAUACCCCCGUAGUCCCUGAGCGGGCUGGCAAGGCGCAU
This 472-nucleotide ribosomal RNA is filed under the name uncultured bacterium. Its description in RNAcentral is "bacterial SSU rRNA". It matches the Rfam family "Bacterial small subunit ribosomal RNA", at positions 355 to 825 of the family's 1533-position model. The record is from RNAcentral.